Molecule: long non-coding RNA, 800 nt
Filed under: Setaria italica (foxtail millet)
Lineage: Eukaryota; Viridiplantae; Streptophyta; Magnoliopsida; Poales; Poaceae
Description: long non-coding RNA (SITA_LNC000520)
Source: RNAcentral
GACUUGAGCGUCUUCUCGUAGAAGAGGUAGGACUCGUAGACCUUGGGAGUCCGCACGAAGCGAUCGAACUGCACGGCAAACGGACAACGCCGAAUGUGAUGCCAAAUUGUUUGAUGAGAAAAUUAAAUUAGAAAAAAACCCCGCAUUUUCAGGUGUCACAUGGAACCCAAUCAACUCCACAAAUUGACAGGUACCCACCUCUGUCAUGUUGUUGACGAGCUCGUUGGCGACGCGGACGUAGUCGGCGCGCCGCCCCGCGGGAACGCCGGCCAUGGCGGUGGUGAGGUCGAGGUCGAGGUACUUGGACUUGAGCCGGACGUAGAAGAGCACGUACUUCCACGACAUGGUCUCCAGCAUCGGGCGCAGCGUGCGCAUCCCCUCCGCCGUCUGCCGGAUGCGCGCGGCGGCCUCCUCCGCGGUCAGCUCCGGCUCGAAGAACCGCUCCCGCACGUACGACUUGGUGCCCCACCGCGGCACGGUCCCCGGCGACGUCGGCGCCGGCACGAACGCCGCCUCCGCGGCCAUCGCGGGCGGGGGCGCCGCGGGACGGCGCGCGUACAGCGCGGCCGUGGCCGCCAGCGCCGUGGACGCGGCCACCGCCAGCCGCCGCGUCGCGGACUGCGGCGGCGGCGCCUGCUGAUGCGGCUGAUUGUCCGAGCCACCCGCGGUGGCGUUGGGAGGCAGGGGCCGGCGGCGGCGCGGCGAGGGGGAUGACGAGGUGGAGGAGCAGAGGAUGAGGUGCUUGGCGAGCGUGGCCAUGGCGGAGCUGAGUGGACUGGUGCAAGUCACGGUGUGAUUAG